Molecule: non-coding RNA, 234 nt
Organism: Procambarus clarkii (red swamp crayfish)
Lineage: Eukaryota; Metazoa; Arthropoda; Malacostraca; Decapoda; Cambaridae
Source: RefSeq, a predicted model, not a curated record
CUUCUGCUGCCGUGGCUGGUGGACGCUGUUCUGGUCAUUAUUGUGGAUCUGGUCUUCGUGGCUUACAUCGUCUACCAGGAGCAUCUCAACCUGAACCCCGUUGUGGCCAUUACCUUCACUGUCGACUUCUUCCUGCUAGUCCUCCAUACCUAUGCGGUCCUGUGCGUGACGUCACAGUACCAGGAGUACCGUGAUGGCCGGGGAACAGCUAUGGACGAUGGAAACAGAUGGGUG